Molecule: ribosomal RNA, 488 nt
Filed under: Osphronemus septemfasciatus
Lineage: Eukaryota; Metazoa; Chordata; Actinopteri; Anabantiformes; Osphronemidae
Description: partial 12S ribosomal RNA
Rfam family: Bacterial small subunit ribosomal RNA
Source: RNAcentral
CGAUAGCCCAUUACCCCCACUAUCCGCCCGGGGACUACGAGCAUUAGCUUAAAACCCAAAGGACUUGGCGGUGCUUAAAAUCCACCUAGAGGAGCCUGUUCUAGAACCGAUAACCCCCGUUCAACCUCACCCUCCCUUGUUCCCCCCGCCUAUAUACCGCCGUCGUCAGCUUACCCUAUGAAGGCCCAAUAGUAAGCAAAAUUGGCAUAACCUAAAACGUCAGGUCGAGGUGUAGCGCAUGAGAGGGAAAGAAAUGGGCUACAUUCCCUAGUAUAGUGAAUACGGAUAAUGAACUGAAACAUUCAUUUGAAGGAGGAUUUAGCAGUAAGCAGAAAAUAGAGCGUCCUGCUGAAACCGGCCCUAAAGCGCGCACACACCGCCCGUCACUCUCCCCAAGCUAUUAAUUACACAUUUCUAAUAUCCUAUAACUGCAAAGGGGAGGCAAGUCGUAACAUGGUAAGUGUACCGGAAGGUGCACUUGGAAAAAU